UCAACUGGAAUAGAUACAGCCUUUGCGGUGU
RNAcentral lists this non-coding RNA (31 nucleotides) under Rattus norvegicus (Norway rat). The record is from RNAcentral. Lineage: Eukaryota; Metazoa; Chordata; Mammalia; Rodentia; Muridae.